CUAUACAUGCAAGUCGAGCGGACAGAUGGGAGCUUGCUCCCUGAUGUCAGCGGCGGACGGGUGAGUAACACGUGGGUAACCUGCCUGUAAGACUGGGAUAACUCCGGGAAACCGGGGCUAAUACCGGAUGCUUGUUUGAACCGCAUGGUUCAAACAUAAAAGGUGGCUUCGGCUACCACUUACAGAUGGACCCGCGGCGCAUUAGCUAGUUGGUGAGGUAACGGCUCACCAAGGCAACGAUGCGUAGCCGACCUGAGAGGGUGAUCGGCCACACUGGGACUGAGACACGGCCCAGACUCCUACGGGAGGCAGCAGUAGGGAAUCUUCCGCAAUGGACGAAAGUCUGACGGAGCAACGCCGCGUGAGUGAUGAAGGUUUUCGGAUCGUAAAGCUCUGUUGUUAGGGAAGAACAAGUGCCGUUCGAAUAGGGCGGCACCUUGACGGUACCUAACCAGAAAGCCACGGCUAACUACGUGCCAGCAGCCGCGGUAAUACGUAGGUGGCAAGCGUUGUCCGGAAUUAUUGGGCGUAAAGGGCUCGCAGGCGGUUUCUUAAGUCUGAUGUGAAAGCCCCCGGCUCAACCGGGGAGGGUCAUUGGAAACUGGGGAACUUGAGUGCAGAAGAGGAGAGUGGAAUUCCNCGUGUAGCGGUGAAAUGCGUAGAGAUGUGGAGGAACACCAGUGGCGANNNCGACUCUCUGGUCUGUAACUGACGCUGANGAGCGAAAGCGUGGGGAGCGAACAGGAUUAGAUACCCUGGUAGUCCACNCCGUAAACGAUGAGUGCUAAGUGUUAGGGGGUUUCCGCNCCUUAGUGCUGCAGCUAACGCAUU
RNAcentral lists this ribosomal RNA (831 nucleotides) under Bacillus subtilis. RNAcentral's name for it is "bacterial SSU rRNA". It matches the Rfam family "Bacterial small subunit ribosomal RNA", at positions 49 to 861 of the family's 1533-position model. The record is from RNAcentral. Lineage: Bacteria; Bacillati; Bacillota; Bacilli; Caryophanales; Bacillaceae.